RNAcentral lists this ribosomal RNA (477 nucleotides) under uncultured bacterium. Its description in RNAcentral is "bacterial SSU rRNA". It matches the Rfam family "Bacterial small subunit ribosomal RNA", at positions 28 to 524 of the family's 1533-position model. The record is from RNAcentral.
GACGAACGCUGGCGGCGUGCCUAACACAUGCAAGUCGAACGAGGUCCAUCCUUCGGGAGAAGACCUAGUGGCGAACGGGUGAGUAACACGUGAAGAACCUGCCCCGAAGACCGGGAUAACCCUCCGAAAGGAGAGCUAAUACCGGAUACCCCCACCGAACCGCAUGGUUUGGUGAGGAAAUGGAUUCCGCUUCGGGAGGGCUUCGCGGCCUAUCAGCUAGUUGGUGGGUAACGGCCCACAAGGCAUCGACGGGUAGCUGGUCUGAGAGGACGAUCAGCCACACUGGGACUGAGACACGGCCCAGACUCCUACGGGAGGCAGCAGUGGGGAAUCUUGCGCAAUGGGCGAAAGCCUGACGCAGCAACGCCGCGUGGGGGAUGAAGGCUCUCGGGUUGUAAACCCCUUUCAGCAGGGACGAAUCAAGACGGUACCUGCAGAAGAAGCCCCGGCUAACUACGUGCCAGCAGCCGCGGUAAU